CCCUAACCCUUUUAUCUAUUUUGCUAUUUUUUUAUAAGCUAAUAGUUGGUCUGUGUUGUUAAGUGUUUCUAAUUGAUGGUCUUAUAGUAUGAUUUUUGCCUUAAGCACUGUUUAAAUAAGCUUAGAAUGAGUCCCUCCUAAACAUGAUACCCUAUUUAUCUUAUGUACCUAAUCUAGUAGUUUGCUAUUAAUAGUCUAGACUAGUGCUGAUCUUUCACAAAAGAUGUUUGAGACUGCUGGAAAUUGAAAUGGUCUGUGUUGAAAUGGUUUUGAGGUUUGAUAAAGGUCAACAGCACACUAUCAGUAAUGUAUAUUGAAAUAAGGAGUUUUUGUCUCAUUUAAUUAAGGAACACAUAUGGUAUUGUAAGGUUGUUUGAACAUUAAUUUAGAUUUUAUGAUCUCUAGAUAAGGCUGCUUGGUGUUAAGAAGUCCAUAUGACAUGUUUAGAGGGUUACUGUUUGAUUACUUGCCUUUUAAUGUGAUAACACCUAUAUCAAAAAGGGAUUAGUGAUUUAAACAUAUCUAUAAUUGUUGUCUAAUGACCUUUGCUUGGAACGUUGAACAUGUCUAUAACUAUCAUUAGCUGAUCUAUGAUGUUCUUCUUUCAAAAGUGAGAUUUCCCUACUCCUAUCUUACUAUGCUUAAGUAAGAAUCACUUUAAACUUGUGCCUAAAUAAUUUUGGUGCAAACAUGUUAUGGUCACUCCUGAUGUCUUCCAUGACUAAUGCAACAUUGUUAUACAAGACCAUAGCUUGACCUUGUUCCUAUUUUCUAUUAGAUUGUUAAACUCUAUAGUGUGCAAUAACUGUUUGACUUUGGUAAAUAUGGUGAAAAAAAGAGGAUCAGGGACAUAGGCAGAUUAAGAAUACAACAUUUCUUUUUAAAAUAAAUAAAAUAAAUAGCCUUAUGUCCUGUUCAUGGAUCAGUCUAGCUUAUUGCCUUAUCUUAAAAAAUAAGUCAAGUUAUAACAAGACUUACAGAUUAGGCAGGCUUUGUUGGGAAACUAUAAUGCUUGAGAUUCUUAUUUGAUUAUGACCUUUGGAUUAAGUUUGGCUAAAGAAGAUAACUAGCUUGUUGCUGACAAUUUAAGUUCUAAAUUGAGAAAAAUUGAGUGAACCUAGCUUUAAUAACUAGCUAUUAUUAAGUUAAAUGUUUGAACAUCAAUCAAGGAUAGAACCAUAAUAGGAAUAGGUCUAGAAAGGUACGAAAUCAAGAUUGUUUGAGGAAAAGGGGGGUUAGGCUAAUAAUGAACCAUUAGUUUAUUAUGGUGACAUUACUUGGCAAGUUUAGUCCACUUCUGUGUUAAAACAUGACUAGCUAAAGGGGAGGGACGAUGAAGCCACCUAGGCUAGCUUGAACCUUGUUUACAUACAUGAGAAGAACUCUGCCUAAAGAUUAAUUAGCAAGGGAUUUCAGUCAAUCUUCUUUUAAAAGAAGCUAGCCCCUUUAGAACUUGAGUAGAAAUCUAAAAUGUUUGCCACGUGACCUAUUUAUGAAGAUGCUCUACUAUCUUUGCACCUGUAUUGUCUUUUAGGGGUUUGUUUAUUUGCCAGUUGAGUCUGCCUUUCCUUUUCCUUUUUUCUUUCUUUUAUGUGGAUCUUGUUGUGUCAAAGGCUUAAAGGUUUAAUCAUGCUUAAGAAUUAAAGGGUCCCUACCGAGAAUGAGGGUUGGUCCAUGGACAUUUGGCUAUUUGUUUGCUUGAAAUCCCUUUGUAUCUUGCUUAGAGGUUCUGAAUGUCUCAAAAAGAAAGUCAGCACUGUGCUCUAGCCCAUGAGUGUGAUCAUGCCAUAUCCAAGAUCAGGUAGCCAAUCUAACCUGCAAUGUUAAAUCCUGAGAUUCCUAUAUGAGUGCUAUUGGAAUAUAACUGUUUCAAAUAAAGAAAAAAGAAGGGGAAAUCUGCCUACCGUCCACUACUUGAAUCAUUAGUGUUUAGGUCUAAUUGCUAAUACUCUAUCCAGAUAUUUUAGUUAUCAUCAUUUAAUUGGAUGCUUCAUAUACAUUUUCCAUGACUUGAUCAAUUGAGGUUUGUAACAUGACAUGACUUGCUAAAUGCCUAGACUAAUUUAAGAUGGUUUUGUGAAGUUGAAGUAGGUUAAGGAACUUGUUGAUGACACCUUUACUUAUUCUGUGACUCUGUGUGAACUUUGUUAGACUCUAGUGGUGAAAAUGAUCCUAGUCUUAGUCUAAAUGGUCCAGUCUACUUAUGUGUCCGUACAUUUGAACUUGAUUAAGCAUUUGGCUGUAAAUGGUUUCUGGUAGCAAUGCUCCUUAUGAUUAGAGAGGGAUUGAGAGUAAGCUGAAAAUCACAUGGCUAGGAAGAGCCUUUUCUAAAGGUGCCUUAAGAGGGGAUCAAGGGGAGAAUCAAGCACUGUUUGGUUGACCACACCUUUCUUUCAAAUAAAAGGCACCAUGCCACUUUCAUAAGCCUAUGGUGGUGCAUGCUAACUGUACAAAUCUUUCAAAAUCAUGUGAACUUUGUUGCCAGAACCUAGAAGACUUGGCUAGAACCAGACAUGCAUUGAUAAAUGGUUUAGUAAAACCUAGUAAUGAACCUAGGUACAUAUGUACAUGACUGAACUAGAAUACAAAAGAAAGAACUUAAAAGGAAACAGGAAAUCUGAAUAGGUAAGGCAUUGAAACUGAAACUGAGUCAUUAAAGACUGUUAAGAUAAAAAAACUCCACCAAGGAGACAUGAAUGAUUUUAUGCAUUCUUUCUAUGCUAUGUAUGGAGCCUGCAUACUUUGCACUUGAUGUUUUCAUCUUGUUAAGUCUAACUGGGACCUGAAAGUCCAUCUCUGUGCCAUGUUUAUGUGUCUAAACUUGACUGAAAUCAAUUCCCUUUUCUCUAUGUUAUACCUGUCUGCUCAAUCUGCAUAUGGCUUUUGAAAAUAUGACCUAGAAUAUACUUUUCUUUUAACCUGGGCCUGCUUUUGUCUCCUUUAUAUGUGCAGUGUGUGUUUGUGACUAAACUCCAUAAUAGAAUCUUUCCAUAUUUGAACAUCUUCAUGAAGAGAUUGAUAAGCUCAUUUUGCCUAGACCACUUCUAGUUUAUAAUGAUUCACUGUUCAAUGAAUAUAUUCUUGCCCCUUGUUGUGAUUGAGUAGUAGUAAUGCUGUACAGUGAAGCAUUGUACUUUAUUUCUUGGGAGUUAUUUUCUUUUUGCCUAUUCCUCAGUGUCCUUGUUUAAAGGCCGGACUGUUCAAUGACACUACUAAAAAAAUAGGAUUUUUCGACCUAAAAAAACCGACCUCAUGAGGUCGGUAAAUUCAUAAUAUUUAUUUUUUAAUUUUUUUUUUAAAAUAAACCGACCUCAUGAGGUCGGUAAUAUUGUACCAAAAUUUGAAAAAAUAAUUUACCGACCUCACUAGAUCGGAAAUUAAUUUGAUGCUAAAUAUUAUAAUUUUAUUUUUAAUUUAAAAGAAUACCGACCUCAUGAGGUCGGUAUUUUUUAAAAUUAAAAAUAAAAUUAUUAAAUUUACCGACCUCAUGAGGUCGGUAAAAUUAGUCAUAAAACUAAAACGUACAGAUCACCCAAAUAAACAUUUCUCUCUCUUUCCUCUCACCUUUUCUCUCCCCCUCUCUCUCUCUCUCUAACCCUAACCUACUAACUCCAUCGACAUCGCCAGAUUCCUGCCAGCCACCGCAGCCCCUACCCAGUCCCGCCGUUGCCGUCGCCAUCGACGGCGAACCAUUGGAGUUGUGUAUGCCAUCUAUUACCAUGCUUCAGUAUUAGAACUGGACCAAAGUGUCGGGGUUCUUUGAGGGAGCAGUAGCCAAGUUGGUAAUUCUAAUUCUUGGACUCACAUAUAAUUGUUUGCGAAGCAGUUCUUUUGCAAUGUUAAGGUCAGGUGCCACUGAAGAAUGACAAAGACAAAGCUCCAAUCAAGGACAAACUAGCCUUUGAUGCUAGUUUAGCAAACUAAAAGGAAAAAUGUGUCUGGCGCCCGGAACAUGAGACGCAGCUAGCUCAAAACUUCAAGAAGAAAUCUCAGCGCUUACUAUGUUUGAAUGUUAAUGUUGUGGUGGAUUUGUGGAUUGUGUAAGUGUUUUGUGGAUGUUUGCGAGCGGUGAAGUAGUCUAUUGUUAUAGACUAACUUAGUCUAAUGUUGUAGACUAAUUUAGUGUAGAUCUACUAGUUUAAUGUUUUGUGGAUGUUUGCAAAGGUUGUGAAGUAGUUUAAUGUUGUGUAGAUGUUUGCGAAAGUUGAAGUAGCUUAAUGUCUCUUCGGAAUGUUUGAAUGACGUUUUGAUUAAACUUUGAAGUAGUUUCGAAUUGAAUUUGACGUAUUGUUGGUUGUAAUAUAUGUGGUUGUUGAAGUA
Long non-coding RNA from Lycium barbarum (goji berry), 4320 nucleotides. RefSeq lists it as uncharacterized. The transcript is spliced from 4 exons. The record is from RefSeq and is a predicted model, not a curated record. NCBI's taxonomy places the organism in Eukaryota, Viridiplantae, Streptophyta, Magnoliopsida, Solanales, Solanaceae.